RNAcentral lists this ribosomal RNA (253 nucleotides) under uncultured bacterium. Its description in RNAcentral is "partial 16S ribosomal RNA". It matches the Rfam family "Bacterial small subunit ribosomal RNA", at positions 524 to 776 of the family's 1533-position model. The record is from RNAcentral.
UACGAAGGGGGGUAGCGUUGUUCGGAAUUACUGGGCGUAAAGCGUACGUAGGCGGCUUUGUAAGUUAGAGGUGAAAGCCCGGGGCUCAACUCCGGAAUUGCCUUUAAGACUGCAUCGCUUGAAUCAUGGAGAGGUGAGUGGAAUUCCGAGUGUAGAGGUGAAAUUCGUAGAUAUUCGGAAGAACACCAGUGGCGAAGGCGACUCACUGGACAUGUAUUGACGCUGAGGUACGAAAGCGUGGGGAGCAAACAGG